Danaus plexippus (monarch butterfly) is the source of this 744-nucleotide long non-coding RNA. RefSeq lists it as uncharacterized. Lineage: Eukaryota; Metazoa; Arthropoda; Insecta; Lepidoptera; Nymphalidae. The record is from RefSeq and is a predicted model, not a curated record. The transcript has 2 exons.
GCAACGUUUUAUGGACGGCGACCAUAAAACAGACGUACUAGUUCGUGUUGGUCAUCCGCAAAUAGGUUAAUAAAUAUUGUUUUACCAUAUAAUUGAAGGAAAAACAUAAAAUUUUAGUUAAGGUAUCAGCUGAUAAGGAAGAUGAGAGCUAUCUCGUGAUUUUAGCUGUGCGGUUGGCAGCACUGAUCGGCGCUACUCCUGAGCAGCCUCCGUGACCUCGGCGACCGAUUGUGUAAACAAUCCACACGUCGCCUUAAUGUAAUGCAUUCCAACCAUAUCGAAUUAUGACUAUUUCAAAUAGGCUAUGCGGAUAAAUCGAUUUAAGUGAUUCUUUUUAAGACCAAUUUUUAAGUUUAUACAGUUAUUAAUUAUUAUUAUUAUUUUUAGUAAUUAAUAAUGUCAGGUAAUUCUGCAGUCCCUUAAUUCUAUCAAAACAAGACACUGGUAAAAGUGCUUAAAUUGCGUCCAGUAGGUUUGAUAGAAAUGCCUUUUUCGGUUUUCUAAAUUCUUUUCUUUGGGAUUGUCGAAAAUUUUAUUGAUGGUCGAAAAAUUUUGCUUUCUUUUUAUGUUAUAGGGGAAGUACAAAAUAUCAUUUCUCACUUAUAUUGGGUUUUGUCAAACUAUAAUGUGUGAAUUAGGUUACUUCUAUAGAAUAAUGUUACAAUUUAAAAUAUGCAUAUAGAUUUAUGAAAAUCAUUGAAGGAGUUCUUUUAUUACUAUAAUAUAAAUAUAAAUUUCCAAAUC